GAUGAACGCUGGCGGCGUGCUUAACACAUGCAAGUCGAACGGAAAGGCCCCUCUUUGCCGGGGUACUCGAGUGGCGAACGGGUGAGUAACACGUGAGUGACCUGCCCUGCACUUUGGGAUAACCCUAGGAAACUGGGUCUAAUACCGGAUAGGAGCUUGGGCUGGAUGCUGUUGUUGGGAGUUUUGGCGGUGUGGGAUGGGCACGCGGCUUAUCAGCUUGUUGGGGGGGUAGUGGUCUACCAAGGCGUUGCCGGGUGGCCGGCCUGAGAGGGUGUACGGCCACAUUGGGACUGAGAUACGGCCCAGACUCCUACGGGAGGCAGCAGUGGGGAAUAUUGCACAAUGGGCGGAAGCCUGAUGCAGCGACGCCGCGUGGGGGAUGACGGCCUUCGGGUUGUAAACUGCUUUCGCUUGGGACGAAGCGCGAGUGACGGUACCUGGAGAAGAAGCACCGGCUAACUACGUG
RNAcentral lists this ribosomal RNA (466 nucleotides) under uncultured bacterium. RNAcentral describes it as "partial 16S ribosomal RNA". It matches the Rfam family "Bacterial small subunit ribosomal RNA", at positions 28 to 507 of the family's 1533-position model. The record is from RNAcentral.